Molecule: long non-coding RNA, 1709 nt
Organism: Prosopis cineraria
Lineage: Eukaryota; Viridiplantae; Streptophyta; Magnoliopsida; Fabales; Fabaceae
Exons: 4
Source: RefSeq, a predicted model, not a curated record
UUAAGAAGCAGCUUGAAGACGAACGGCGAGAAUGCAGCCAGUUCUGGGAUUCUCUCUACUUAAUAGGACGCCGUUCCGCGACCCUACUCAACUCUUGCGCUUUGAAAGAGGAAAGCUCCCGUCUCAGUGCCCUAGCUCCGAUGAUCCUUGACUCCACUAUCCAAUCUGCGUGUUACCUGACCUCUCUCCGAUUUCUGAGAUUCAAAGAUUGUUCAGAGGGCCUGGAGAUCAUUUACAAUCCAUUCUCGUCCUUUCCUAAACCUUCUUCAUUCUUCCCACUACUGAACUUUUGACCUGCUAAAAUAAGGACAUGACAGAACAGAUUGUUUGAAUUAGAGUGAGCAAAAGGAGAAAAAUUGCAGCAAAGAAAGAUGCUAUUUUCCAAGGAGUGCUCAAGUACUCAUUUUUAAAGAUUGCCUUAUAGUUGUGUUGGCUUGCACAAUAUAUAGGCUUCAGUCUGCCGUAUUCUCUUCUUGGUAAUUGAUCCGGAAAGUAAAAGAUCCUUAGCAUAUCAUUCAGGUGAUGGAUCAAUUUUGUGAAUGUAGGUGAUUUGGAUGGAGUAGUGCUGACCAGCUGUUCAAGGUAGUUUUGCUGAAAAUAGUUAAAAGUAAAGUCCAUAAUAAUUUCCUUUUUUGGACCAAGAUGUUGCAGGAACACCCUCCUAAAAAGUUGAAGGCUAUUUCAACGAAUGAAAAUCUAGCAUUGAAGCCUGUGGGAAAACUUAGGUCAAAUAGGCCUUUGAGAACAAAAAAUGGCAGUUGAUUCCCAAGUAAAAUAAAGUCUUGAUUUAUAUCGCAUGUUGGCCAUAAUUUGAAACUCCAAGGGUUUCGUUCUAACAGACCUAAACAUGAGAUAAAGUACUCAAUGAUGAAAGAAGCAUCAAUUAGGAUCAUGUUUGUAAAAUCAUCACUCUCCACUGGAAUGGUGUCUGAAUAACAGCAUCGAAUUCUAUCUUCCCAAUCUCUUAGGGCUUUAACAUAAUCCUCCAACAAUUUCUCGAGUCCUUUCUAGAAAGUUGUUGAGGCACCAUAGUUUUACCUUUGCCAUUGAUUCCAAUCUCUUGUCUCCAUGGUGAAAUGGCCCAAUUGAAACUAAGGUAGGAGAGCAGGCUUCUUCACUCACUUCCUGAGUUUUUGGUGGAACUUUGUAGAUGCAGCAUCCUGAUGCUGAGGGAAGCUCUCUAUGCCUUCUAAUUUGGCUUUUAAGGAGCUUAACAAAUCAGAUAUGUUACAGUAAGAGAUACAAGGAAGAGGUACUUAACCUGAUGUUUUGAAUGAUGUAGCCCUGUAACUGAAGAGAAGAGCAUAUCACCAAUCGGAAAGACAAGACCUUACUCUAUCAAUUUCUAAACUCAUCGAGCGAUCAAAGCUUUAGGCCUUUUGUACACUCUAUAGUGCUCAAGUCAUCAACUUGAAGUCUUUGGAGACACAAUAAUACAGUUCAAGUCUGACAGAGUCAAAAACAUGUGGGGUCCAAUCUUAAAGUCUUGCCACCUUAAAACGAGCGUUCAAUUUGCCAAUUUGCUUUUAUGACUUGUGCUUUCAGUCUCCUUCAUGAAAACUUGUGGUCAUGCUAGGAUUUUUUUGUCGGUCUCCUUCCUUGUUGCAACGUACAACUUAGAAUGAUGUACCUUUGCAAAUUCUCUCUUGAUAAUGAAAAUAUAGAAACAUGAGAAAAGGGAGCCUAUGCUUCCAUCGAGUUUGAUUGUA